This 216-nucleotide ribosomal RNA is filed under the name Glomeromycotina sp. RNAcentral describes it as "partial small subunit ribosomal RNA". The stretch from base 40 to 216 matches the Rfam family "Eukaryotic small subunit ribosomal RNA", at positions 686 to 864 of the family's 1831-position model. The record is from RNAcentral. Lineage: Eukaryota; Fungi; Glomeromycota.
GGGUCAGUAGGAUGGUCGUGCCACCGGUACGUACUGGUCUCACUGAUUCCUCCUUCCUGAAGAACCGUAAUGCCAUUAAUUUGGUGUUGCGGGGAAACAGGACUGUUACUUUGAAAAAAUUAGAGUGUUUAAAGCAAGCUAACGCUUGAAUACAUUAGCAUGGAAUAAUGAAAUAGGACGAUCGAUCCUAUUUUAUUGGUUUCUAGGAUUGACGUA